ACGUAGGGAGCAAACGUUGUCCGGAUUUAUUGGGCGUAAAGGGCUCGUAGGCGGUUCAACAAGUUGGUCGUGAAAACCCGGAGCUCAACUCCGGGACGCCGAUCAAAACUGUUGUGACUAGAGUUCGGUAGAGGUGAGUGGAAUUCUCGGUGUAGCGGUGGAAUGCGCAGAUAUCGAGAGGAACACCAUUAGCGAAGGCGGCUCACUGGGCCGAUACUGACGCUGAGGAGCGAAAGCGUGGGGAGCAAACAGG
This 253-nucleotide ribosomal RNA is filed under the name uncultured bacterium. Its description in RNAcentral is "partial 16S ribosomal RNA". It matches the Rfam family "Bacterial small subunit ribosomal RNA", at positions 525 to 776 of the family's 1533-position model. The record is from RNAcentral.